CUCACAUUAAAGAAACACUAUAGUCCCCAGAACCACUUCAGCUUAAUGUAGUGGUUCUGGUGUCUAUAGCCUGUCCCUGCAGGCCUUUUAAUGUAAACACGGCGGCACUGCAGCACUGGCGUUAGUUAACAUGGCAAAUCAUAUGGCUGGGGCAUUGUGAUGUCACAUGGGGGGGGGCGGCAAACUUUACUUUUGCCUAGGGCGGCAAAAAUCCUUGCACCGGCCCUGCUGGCGGGUGA
Non-coding RNA from Pelobates cultripes (western spadefoot toad), 239 nucleotides. Lineage: Eukaryota; Metazoa; Chordata; Amphibia; Anura; Pelobatidae. The record is from the annotation of a GenBank genome assembly.